GAUAGGAUGGCUGAAUUUAUAGGUGGUGGAUUGUAAAUCUAUUUAUGAGAACUUUUCUCUCCUAUCAU
This 68-nucleotide transfer RNA is filed under the name Bryodema gebleri. RNAcentral's name for it is "tRNA-Tyr". It matches the Rfam family "tRNA". From Rfam's summary of the family: Transfer RNA (tRNA) molecules are approximately 80 nucleotides in length. Lineage: Eukaryota; Metazoa; Arthropoda; Insecta; Orthoptera; Acrididae. The record is from RNAcentral.